This 441-nucleotide ribosomal RNA is filed under the name uncultured bacterium. RNAcentral describes it as "partial 16S ribosomal RNA". It matches the Rfam family "Bacterial small subunit ribosomal RNA", at positions 338 to 795 of the family's 1533-position model. The record is from RNAcentral.
CCUACGGGAGGCAGCAGUGAGGAAUAUUGGUCAAUGGGCGCGAGCCUGAACCAGCCAAGUAGCGUGAAGGAUGACUGCCCUACGGGUUGUAAACUUCUUUUAUAAAGGAAUAAAGUGACGGUACCUUAGGAAUAAGCUCCGGCUAACUACGUGCCAGCAGCCGCGGUAAUACGUAGGGAGCGAGCGUUAUCCGGAUUUACUGGGUGUAAAGGGCGUGUAGGCGGGAUGGCAAGUCAGGCGUGAAAACUAUGGGCUCAACCCAUAGCCUGCGUUUGAAACUGUCGUUCUUGAGUGAUGGAGAGGCAAGCGGAAUUCCGUGUGUAGCGGUGAAAUGCGUAGAUAUACGGAGGAACACCAGUGGCGAAGGCGGCUUGCUGGACAUUAACUGACGCUGAGGCGCGAAAGCGUGGGGAGCAAACAGGAUUAGAUACCCGAGUAGUC